AGAGUUUGAUCCUGGCUCAGGAUGAACGCUGGCGGCGUGCCUAACACAUGCAAGUCGAGCGGGUUAAUCUGACGGAAGCCUUCGGGUGGAAGAAAGUGAAACUAGCGGCGGACGGGUGAGUAACGCGUGGGCAACCUACCUUGUACAGGGGGACAACAACGGGAAACCGUUGCUAAUACCCCAUAAAACCCUAGAGGGGCAUCCCUUAUGGGUCAAAGAAUUUCGGUACAAGAUGGGCCCGCGUCUGAUUAGCUAGUUGGUGAGGUAAUGGCUCACCAAGGCGACGAUCAGUAGCCGACCUGAGAGGGUGAUCGGCCACACUGGAACUGAGACACGGUCCAGACUCCUACGGGAGGCAGCAGUGGGGAAUAUUGCACAAUGGGCGAAAGCCUGAUGCAGCAACGCCGCGUGAGCGAUGAAGGCCUUCGGGUCGUAAAGCUCUGUCCUAGGGGAAGAAUAUUGACGGUACCCUAGGAGGAAGCCCCGGCUAACUACGUGCCAGCAGCCGCGGUAAUACGUAGGGGCAAGCGUUAUCCGGAAUCACUGGGCGUAAAGGGUGCGUAGGCGGUCUUGCAAGUCAGAGGUGAAAGGCUACGGCUCAACCGUAGUAAGCCUUUGAAACUGCAAGACUUGAGUAUGGGAGAGGAAAGUGGAAUUCCUAGUGUAGCGGUGAAAUGCGUA
Molecule: ribosomal RNA, 681 nt
Filed under: uncultured bacterium
Lineage: Bacteria
Description: bacterial SSU rRNA
Rfam family: Bacterial small subunit ribosomal RNA
Source: RNAcentral